This 790-nucleotide long non-coding RNA is filed under the name Citrus x clementina. RNAcentral describes it as "Citrus clementina (C. clementina) long non-coding RNA (CCLE_LNC005122)". Lineage: Eukaryota; Viridiplantae; Streptophyta; Magnoliopsida; Sapindales; Rutaceae. The record is from RNAcentral.
CGGGCAUAGCCGCGCACAAAAAUAACCGCCCGAAGGCCGGGGCGCCAAGUUCGUCCAGCGGAAAAAGGCCACAAAAACGGGUGGGCUGUAGCCUUGGGGGGUGGGGCUGGCCCACUUCGUCCGCCGGACUCGGAAUGCCGCGAGACAUUGCGAGGGGCCUCCGUGUGAUAAAUAUAGGCCACGGGCAAAGCCACGCCCACAAAUAAUCGUCCGAAGGCUGGGGCGCCAAGUUCGUCCAGCAGAAAAAGGCCACAAAAACGGGUGGGCUAUAGCCUUGGGGGGUGCGGCUGGCCAACUUCGUCCGCCGGACUCGGAAUGCCGUGAGACUUUGCGAGGGGCCUCCGUGCGCCAAAAAUAGGCCGCGGGCAAAGCCGCACCCAAAAAUAACUGCGCGAAGGCCGGGGCGCCAAGUUCAUCCAGCGGAGAAAGGCCACAAAAACGGAUGGGCUAUAGCCUUGGGGGGUGGGGCUGGCCAACUUCGUCCGCCGGACUCGGAAUGCCGCGAGACAUUGCGAGGGGCCUCCGUGUGAUAAAUAUAGGCCGCGGGCAAAGCCACGCCCACAAAUAACCGCCCGAAGGCCGGGGCGCCAAGUUCGUCCAGCGGAAAAAGGCCACAAAAACGGGUGGGCUAUACCCUUGGGGGGUGGGGCUGGCCGACUUCGUCCGCCGGACUCGGAAUGCCGCGAGACUUUGCGAGGGGCCUCCGUGUGCCAAAAAGAAGCCGCGGGCAAAGCCACCCCCAAGAAUAACCGCCCAAAGGCCGGGGCGCCAAGUUCGUCCAGCUGAAAAA